RNAcentral lists this non-coding RNA (30 nucleotides) under Rattus norvegicus (Norway rat). Lineage: Eukaryota; Metazoa; Chordata; Mammalia; Rodentia; Muridae. The record is from RNAcentral.
UAGCCAGUGCUUCCUAGAUGCCAGCGCCAC